ACCUCAGCUCAAGCAAGAAAACCCGCUGAACUUAAGCAUAUCAAUAAGCGGAGGAAAAGAAACUAACAAGGAUUCCCCUAGUAACGGCGAGUGAAGAGGGAAAAGCUCAAAUUUUAAAUCUACCUGGUUCCCAGGUCGAAUUGUAUUUUGAAGAAGCGAUAUCUGUGUUGAGGUCUGGUUCAAGUUCUUUGGAACAAGACAUCAUGGAGGGUGAGAAUCCCGUGCAUGAUCAGACCAAGAUACUUAAUAUUCGUUUUCUAAGAGUCGAGUUGUUUGGGAAUGCAGCUCAAAUUGGGUGGUAGACUUCACCUAAGGCUAAAUAUCAGCGAGAGACCGAUAGCGAACAAGUACUGUGAAGGAAAGAUGAAAAGCACUUUGAAAAGAGAGUUAAAUAGUACGUGAAAUUGUUGAAAGGGAAACGAUUGAAGUCAGUCAUGCUAGUGAAAAUUCAGUUUGACGGGUUUUGGGUUUAGGAGUAAGAGGUAGGGUCAAACCGUCUCUCUUUUAAACUUGGGAUUUGUCGGAUGCACUUUUUCUUUGGCAGGUCAGCGUCGAUUUCGGGGGUUGUAAAAUACUUGGGGGAAAGUAGCUCUGCUUCGGGAGAGUGUUAUAGACCUUGGGAGAUGCAGCCCGUGGGAUCGAGGAUUGCAGCAAAUGCCUUUGGCUUGUCUUCUGAUCUUUGGUUGUUACCUCGUUUAUGACAACAUUCUUGUCAUCGAUGAGUUCUAAUGGUUAUGGGUUAGAAUGAUCAAAAAUUUGCUAAGGAUGCUGACGUAAUGGCUUUAAACGACCCGUCUUGAAACACGGACCAAGGAGUCUAACAUAUGUGCGAGUGUUUGGGUGACAAACCCGGAACGCGUAAUGAAAGUGAACAUGGGUGGGAUCCUCCUCGUGGGGAGCACCAUCAACCGAUCAGGAUAUUUUUUGAUAGAUUUGAGUAAGAGCACAUCUGUUGGGACCCGAAAGAUGGUGAACUAUGCCUGAAUAGGGUGAAGCCAGAGGAAACUCUGGU
This 1012-nucleotide ribosomal RNA is filed under the name Diversispora versiformis. RNAcentral's name for it is "eukaryotic LSU rRNA". It matches the Rfam family "Eukaryotic large subunit ribosomal RNA", at positions 1 to 868 of the family's 3401-position model. The record is from RNAcentral. Lineage: Eukaryota; Fungi; Glomeromycota; Glomeromycetes; Diversisporales; Diversisporaceae.